Panicum hallii is the source of this 1485-nucleotide long non-coding RNA. RefSeq lists it as uncharacterized. The transcript is spliced from 3 exons. NCBI's taxonomy places the organism in Eukaryota, Viridiplantae, Streptophyta, Magnoliopsida, Poales, Poaceae. The record is from RefSeq and is a predicted model, not a curated record.
GUCAGGCCGUUGCGUAGCAAGCGACCAUUACUGGCCGGGCGGCUGCGGCCAUCUGCCCCACGGCGGCGUGCGGCUUUGAGGAUGACCACUGACUAAUGCGGACGGCCCAAUGAGGUGCUUGACCCCGGCCGCGUUCGACACCUACGGCGGAGCAUGCGGCCGCGCCUACGAGGCUACGAAGAAGCCGGCCGGGCGGUGAACAUGUGCGCCGCCUCGCUUCUCUUCGCCUCGUCGGGCCCAACUGUCGCCAGGCUUCCCUCCGUCCGCUGCCCCCCACGGGCCCGUCGUACUUACCUUGAGGCAUCGGACUCUAUGAUUGGUUGGGAGUAUUGCUUUGGAGGGAGAGUGGCAAAGGGUGCUGGAGAUUUGGCUGCCUUCACCUGGAUGGCUUUCACCUUGUGUAUGACAUGCACCGUGCAAUAAUCGGGUGCCAUCUUCAUCAAGCAUGUUGGGACAUCAGGAUUUCUGAAUCUUCUGCAUGGUAUAAUGAUCAUGGCUGCUAUCAGUAUAGGCAUUAACUGGAUGCGAAGGUGUGCAACCAUGGAAGUGGAGUAAGCAUGUCAUGUACCUGAUGAAUGUGUUCUUAGUUGAUGCCCCAACGACAAUGUCUGUGAUGGCGUUGCUAGUGGCAUAUUCAAUUAUUGCUUUGGAGAUGUCACUGUUAUCCAAGAUGACCUCCUUCAGAUGCAUCUGUGAUUUACAGAUGGCAUUAGAGAAACUCAUACAUUUCACAUUGAGUGGCUGAAUUCUGAAAAGAUGCCUACCCCUGACAUGGACGAGCGUGAGCGUGCUGCCCCUGGACAGGAGCUUAUCCACCGCCCAUUUCGCCGCCUGCUGGCUGUUCUUGUCCCGGUCGACGGCCACGAUGACGGAGCUGUCCCUUGCAGUCGCCUCUUGCUCAGCGCUAUACGAAGACGACACAGCGAACGCCGAGGCGAACAUCUUAGGUGGUGCGCACCACUCUCUUUCUUCCUCGAGCAACAAUCAGCUUCUAACCCAAGCGAGAACCGACGAACCCCAACAACAGAUAGCAAAGAAAGGAGGCUGCAAGAGGCGAAACGGAGGGGAGAGAGAGACAAGGGGGAUUUUGUCUCUCCUCCUCUCUCCUCGCCUUAUUUUGUCCUGCUCGUCCCUAACCUCCCUCCUCCGUUUUUCUGUUGCCAUGGAGCCACCCAAAAGUGUAGAUGCGUUUCCAGGAGGUUUUGCCGUUUCCCCAACUUUGGAUCAUGAGCUUUCGCCUAUUUUUGUGUGGCUAAGCUGUUGCGAGGACUUUGCAGCUCGUGUUUUGUUGUGUCCAUUCAUCUAUUUCUAGGCAAGGCCUGUGUCUGCUUGUUCAUGACUCAUGAUCAUGACUGUCGGUACUGUCACUGUACGGAGUUUGUGCCUGCCUGUCAUCGCUUCAUAAACAGAAUUCUUGUUGUAUUUGUUUUUUUCAGCACAUAUAUAUUUUUCCAAUUAAUAACAAAGUGGCUGCAUUUUUCUUAA